CUAAAGCUAACUUUCAAAAUGAAUGUAUGAAGUGGAUAAACCACAUACAUCACGGUGGGCCCCAAGAGCCUCUUACAUGACCGUCCGUCGUGUAUAGCUCCGUGUGGGGGUAAUAAGCAAUCUGCACCCAAAAAAGGAGCCCGCAGGAUUUUUUUUUUUAUUCUCCCGGGCUCAAGGGUUUCACAUCUCCCUUUCUUGUGGCUGUCAUGGCCAGCCUGCUUUCCCUCCCAUCUCUAUUUCCCUCUCUCUCUGUCUGUCUACAUUUUAUCAUCCGAUCGGCUGCUUCUAGAUCUUUGCAAUCUCACUAAUCUCCAAAUGCUUAAGGUUGGGAAGGAUGGGUAAGGUUCCAGUUGAUGAAAUUCCAACAUCCCUUGAGGAGAAGGUUGCAGGGCAACGCCUUCAGAUUUUAUCAGGAACACAGGGUUAGAUGGUAAAGUGGUGAUAUGGGAUUUGUUUCAGCACUUCAGGAGUUUGUUCUUUUGAACCGUUCUCUUUCUACAAUUUUGAUGUCAGGGGUUCUUUGGAAAGGGAUGGUGUGACCAAAAGCCAAUUUUACUAGGUCUUACUGUAUGAACUAGAUGCAAUCCGGAAGCAUGCACAUCACUCGCGCCAAAUUACCAGCCUCCACCAACAUUUGUUGUUGUCCAAAAAUGACAAAAAGUUGAUAUAUAUUUCCUAGAACUUCGGUGGACUUCUAUUUGUGCAGCCAUGUGGGCAUUUAGUAGGAGCUGAAGUAGAUGAUGAUAGGAUUAAGUUGUGGCUUCUGGUGGUGGUGGCUUCAAAAUUGAAGAGGCCAUACUUUGAAGUGCAUCCAUUAUGUUCUAUCAACUUUCCCGGAAAGCAUUCCCCUACCAUGUGUCAUUUACUGCCAUGGAAAUAGUUAUUCUGCUUUUGAAGUUGUUCUCCCACAUGCUCCAACAUUGAUGACUGAUGUGUUCGGAAAUUAUGUUACUCAAAAGUUUUUUGAGCAUGGAAGCCCUAAGUAGAGAUAAGAACUAGCAAAUCAGCUUGCUGGUUGCAUUCUACCUGUGAGCCUUCAUAUAUAUGGGUGCCUGGUAAUUCAAAUGGUAUUAUUAUGGGUCAUUUGUUGGGUGGGGCUUGGCAUGUACUGUUUUCUUCUUUAUACAGUCAAAUAGUUCUUGGCAGCCAGCUUUUGGACUGUUCUAUAUACUACUCCUCAACAUUGAUCAAUGCACACACUAUAUAUGAGACAACUCAACAUUUAUGAGGAUACCAACAGCUAAUCUGGAUUCAAUUUGAUCAAUGUACACACUUUUUAUUGCUGCCUUACUGGUUGUAUAAUAGGUAAUUUGCGAUAUGGAUGCAUACUUCUAACAUGUUUGGAUCCUUUUUCUUGGAAGUGGAUCAAAAUGGUGCAUAGGUAGCAGUCCUAAAUAUUUUUUUUUUUGUUUAUAGUCUGAAUUUUGUUUUUUGUCUAAUUAGCUAGCAAUCAAAGGCCUCAAAUGUAUUUUUUUU
Long non-coding RNA from Magnolia sinica, 1476 nucleotides. RefSeq lists it as uncharacterized. The record is from RefSeq and is a predicted model, not a curated record. NCBI's taxonomy places the organism in Eukaryota, Viridiplantae, Streptophyta, Magnoliopsida, Magnoliales, Magnoliaceae. The transcript is spliced from 9 exons.